AGAACGAACGCUGGCGGCAUGCCUAAUACAUGCAAGUCGAACGAACUCUUCGGAGUUAGUGGCGCACGGGUGCGUAACGCGUGGGAAUCUGCCCCUUGGUUCGGAAUAACAGUUGGAAACGACUGCUAAUACCGGAUGAUGACGAAAGUCCAAAGAUUUAUCGCCAAGGGAUGAGCCCGCGUAGGAUUAGCUAGUUGGUGAGGUAAAGGCUCACCAAGGCAACGAUCCUUAGCUGGCCUGAGAGGAUGAUCAGCCACACUGGGACUGAGACACGGCCCAGACUCCUACGGGAGGCAGCAGUAGGGAAUAUUGGACAAUGGGCGAAAGCCUGAUCCAGCAAUGCCGCGUGAGUGAUGAAGGCCUUAGGUUGUAAAGCUCUUUUACCCGAGAUGAUAAUGACAGUAUCGGAGAAUAAGCCCCGGAUAACUCCGUGCCAGCAGCCGAC
This 445-nucleotide ribosomal RNA is filed under the name uncultured soil bacterium. RNAcentral describes it as "bacterial SSU rRNA". It matches the Rfam family "Bacterial small subunit ribosomal RNA", at positions 26 to 518 of the family's 1533-position model. The record is from RNAcentral.